GACUGGGAUAGCUCAGUUGGCAGCGCAUGAGACUCUUAAUCUCAGGGUCAUGGGUUUGCACCCCACAUUGGGCA
Podarcis lilfordi (Lilford's wall lizard) is the source of this 74-nucleotide non-coding RNA. NCBI's taxonomy places the organism in Eukaryota, Metazoa, Chordata, Lepidosauria, Squamata, Lacertidae. The record is from the annotation of a GenBank genome assembly.